RNAcentral lists this transfer RNA (83 nucleotides) under Gelidium arborescens. Its description in RNAcentral is "tRNA-Leu". It matches the Rfam family "tRNA". From Rfam's summary of the family: Transfer RNA (tRNA) molecules are approximately 80 nucleotides in length. Lineage: Eukaryota; Rhodophyta; Florideophyceae; Gelidiales; Gelidiaceae. The record is from RNAcentral.
ACGGAUAUGAUGAAAUAGGUAGACGUCUUAGAUUUAGAUUCUAAGGGCUUUUAGCUGUGAGGGUUCGAGUCCCUCUAUCCGUA